UAUAACAACAGUGGACAGAACAUAUGAUGGUGUUGUCGUCGAAUGUUGUUGUUGCACGACUGUGUGAAGCAAAUGCUGGUGUUCAGUUAUCGUCGAAAAAGAUAAAGCGGUGGUAGUUAUAUUGUGAUUAUUUUUAUGAUGUUAUUGAGAGGUUUUUAUGUUGUUGAUGAACUGAGAUGUGAGAUGAGGGAAUGAGGGAGGAGGUUUGUGUUUUUGUUUUUUUUUACUUAAGUGAUGAAGAUGAGUAAGAUAUAAAAGUUGUUUUUGUUGGAGAGAAGGAGUAAUGAGAGAAAAAGUGGAAAAGAUGUUGUACUUUAUGUGUAGUAGCAGAGAUGUGUGAUGGAUUUGAAAAAGUCAGAUGAGGGUUACUGAAAGUUGACAUAUGCUUUUUGAUUGGUUUCUUUCAAAAGUCAGUCCCCAACGAAAUGGUGCCGUUUGUCCACUAGAUUAGAGGAAAUAUUUUCUAAUUUAUUUCAUUUUCUUUAAAUAAGAUUUGAUUAAAAA
Molecule: long non-coding RNA, 504 nt
Filed under: Lathyrus oleraceus (garden pea)
Lineage: Eukaryota; Viridiplantae; Streptophyta; Magnoliopsida; Fabales; Fabaceae
Description: Pisum sativum (pea) long non-coding RNA (PSAT_LNC028564)
Source: RNAcentral